Long non-coding RNA from Sebastes umbrosus (honeycomb rockfish), 836 nucleotides. RefSeq lists it as uncharacterized. The transcript has 2 exons. Lineage: Eukaryota; Metazoa; Chordata; Actinopteri; Perciformes; Sebastidae. The record is from RefSeq and is a predicted model, not a curated record.
AAGAAAAAAAAAAAAAACAACUCUGUCUUUCUGAUCCUGAUCUGGACUCGACCCCGCAACGACAACAGCCGGCCCAGGCAGUGCUGCCCAGCGCUCCAUCUCCACCUCCAUCUCCACCGCUACCUCCACCAGUGGAAGGAGCCAUGACGGAGGAAGAGGGCAAAACAAGCUCAGCAACCAAGCCGUUACCAUACACUGCCCCUCGCACACCAUAACUGGACUUUGCAACGGUGUAAAGACUGCUUUCCCAGUGAAAAUGGACAUUGGCAAAAUCUCACUGUGCAAGCAGAGAGACUAUGAGACUGUGUCUGCGUACCUUAUCAGACUCACAGAGGUUCACAACACACAGUGGCCUCCUACGACCAGCUGCCAUGAGGGGAAACAAUGAGGUCGGUCCCUGGGAAGCUCAUCUUCGGGACCACUUCAUCAAUGAGACCAGAGAUCAGUGAGAUGAUAAAACGCAAUUACAUCACUUGGGAAUGCGGAAACCUUGAGACUGUCGAGAAUCGCGCCAUGGCAGAAGGGAUGGAGGCAGGGGGAGAUCCAACGCCUGCUUCAGAUGUGGAAAGAUGGGAUACUGGGCAAGGAAUUGCCCUGAGAAUCAGGACACACAGGCUGAUUGACUAGCGGAGGGGUCGAGGACAGUGAAGGAUUCAUCUAGCUUUGACACGGAGACGGGAAACAGUGACCUAUCUGCACAUCAGACACGUAAGAACACAGACACACAACUCAUGAUUUCACAAGCAAUUGAAUAUCUUGAAUCUGUACAGGAAACUGGUAAAGAGAAAGCUAUUGAACUAUAUGCUAAGUACUCACAUGACACAUAUAAACAGAUG